GCGUAGGUAGCAAAGCCUGGUUACGCGAUGGACUGCAAAUCCAUUUUACGGGGGUUCAAAUCCCUCCCUGCGCUCCA
Molecule: transfer RNA, 77 nt
Filed under: Candidatus Poseidoniales archaeon
Lineage: Archaea; Methanobacteriati; Thermoplasmatota; Candidatus Poseidoniia; Candidatus Poseidoniales
Also listed under: 1 other name
Description: Marine Group II euryarchaeote (marine metagenome) tRNA-Cys
Rfam family: tRNA
About the family: Transfer RNA (tRNA) molecules are approximately 80 nucleotides in length. Their secondary structure includes four short double-helical elements and three loops (D, anti-codon, and T loops). Further hydrogen bonds mediate the characteristic L-shaped molecular structure. tRNAs have two regions of fundamental functional importance: the anti-codon, which is responsible for specific mRNA codon recognition, and the 3' end, to which the tRNAs corresponding amino acid is attached (by aminoacyl-tRNA synthetases). tRNAs cope with the degeneracy of the genetic code in two manners: having more than one tRNA (with a specific anti-codon) for a particular amino acid; and 'wobble' base-pairing, i.e. permitting non-standard base-pairing at the 3rd anti-codon position.
Source: RNAcentral